AACGCACAUUGCGCUCCUUGGUAUUCCGGGGAGCAUGCCUGUUUGAGAAUCAGUAAAUUCAUCCGUCAUAAGUUUCUGAUCCUUUCGGGGAUUGGUGGCUCUGAUGGGAUUUGGGCCUGUUUGCGCCUGGCGCAAUGGCUUGAAAUUGAAUUUCAUGGGACAAAGGACCGCCUGUCUGGUUUCAGGAGUUUGGAGGGGUUUUUGGCUCAUUCAUGCUGGCUUGUUACCGUUCAGUGACGACCUCGGUGCCGUGACUCAACCUGUCGCUUUUAGUGACAACCCGGACUAAGACUUCUGUCUGGUCUGAACACUUGGUCUCAAAUCAGGUAGGAAAACCCGCUGAACUUAA
This 349-nucleotide unclassified non-coding RNA is filed under the name uncultured fungus. Its description in RNAcentral is "partial contains 5.8S ribosomal RNA, internal transcribed spacer 2, and large subunit ribosomal RNA". The record is from RNAcentral. Lineage: Eukaryota; Fungi.